GAAGUGAGGAGCGUCUCUGCCUGGCUGCCCAUCGUCUGGGAUGUGAGGAGCCCCUCUGCCUGGCUGCCCAGUCUGGAAAGUGAGGACAGUCUCUGCCCGGCCGCCAUCCCAUCUAGGAAGUGAGGAGCGUCUCUGCCCGGCAGCCCAUCGUCUGAGAUGUGGGGAGCGCCUCUGCCCCGCCGCCCCAUCUGGGAUGUGAGGAGCGCCUCGUCCCGGCCGCGACCCCGUCUGGGAGCCUCCCAGCGCCCAGGACCCCUGCCUGAGCAGUGAGAGGCCCUGAUUGAUGCCCAGGACAGCAAGCUUUCCCACCAGCACCAACCUCACCAUUUUCUUUCAGUAUUUGAGGACUGAAAAGAAGGCUUCAUAAUGAUGGG
This 374-nucleotide long non-coding RNA is filed under the name Homo sapiens (human). RNAcentral's name for it is "novel transcript". Lineage: Eukaryota; Metazoa; Chordata; Mammalia; Primates; Hominidae. The record is from RNAcentral.